ACACAAGAAAAAAGUCACGGAAGAAUAGA
RNAcentral lists this small RNA (29 nucleotides) under Vibrio cholerae O1 biovar El Tor str. N16961. Lineage: Bacteria; Pseudomonadati; Pseudomonadota; Gammaproteobacteria; Vibrionales; Vibrionaceae. The record is from RNAcentral.